UACGUAGGGGGCAAGCGUUGUCCGGAAUUAUUGGGCGUAAAGAGCGUGUAGGUGGUCCGGUAAGUCCGCUGUGAAAGUCCAGGGCUCAACCCUGGAAUGCCGGUGGAUACUGCCGGGCUAGAGUCCGGAAGAGGCGAGUGGAAUUCCUGGUGUAGCGGUGAAAUGCGCAGAUAUCAGGAGGAACACCGAUGGCGAAGGCAGCUCGCUGGGACGGUACUGACGCUGAGACGCGAAAGCGUGGGGAGCAAACAGG
RNAcentral lists this ribosomal RNA (253 nucleotides) under uncultured bacterium. Its description in RNAcentral is "partial 16S ribosomal RNA". It matches the Rfam family "Bacterial small subunit ribosomal RNA", at positions 524 to 776 of the family's 1533-position model. The record is from RNAcentral.